Molecule: unclassified non-coding RNA, 232 nt
Filed under: Drosophila melanogaster (fruit fly)
Lineage: Eukaryota; Metazoa; Arthropoda; Insecta; Diptera; Drosophilidae
Description: partial miscellaneous RNA
Source: RNAcentral
CCCACCCCUGUGGUGGGUGGUGCAUUCGCCUAUAUUCUGCGGAAUUUCGCCUGGCGUAUGGAUGAAGAGGAUUUUAUCCGAAUCCUUACGCGCCAGGUUGUCUGCGGAAAUCUGCCAGAGUAAUCUUAGAUAUGGACGAGUUGGUAGGACUCGGCGGGUGGUGUUCACACACUUUCUCGUCUGAGAAACCGCCUACACAGAAUGGGGCUUACAUUGGGAAACUCGGACGGAA